RNAcentral lists this non-coding RNA (194 nucleotides) under Shinella sp. WSC3-e. The record is from RNAcentral. Lineage: Bacteria; Pseudomonadati; Pseudomonadota; Alphaproteobacteria; Hyphomicrobiales; Rhizobiaceae.
UUAGAUAAGGACACUCGAGGUGCCGCCCGAAAAGGCGGAGAAUUGGGAAGCCGGUUGAAAUCCGGCGCUGCCCCCGCAACGGUGUUGGAGAAAACGCGGCAGGACGCCACUGGACAAGAUGUCCGGGAAGGCGCCGCGAUGGUUCGCAAGGACGCUCCUCAGCCCGGAAACCAGCCUUGGGCAACGAUCGUGAC